GCGGGUGUGGCGGAACUGGUAGACGCACCAGAUUUAGGUUCUGGCGCUUAUGGCGUGGGGGUUCGAGUCCCUUCACCCGCACCA
This 84-nucleotide transfer RNA is filed under the name Paracoccaceae bacterium. Its description in RNAcentral is "tRNA-Leu". It matches the Rfam family "tRNA". Rfam says of the family: Transfer RNA (tRNA) molecules are approximately 80 nucleotides in length. Their secondary structure includes four short double-helical elements and three loops (D, anti-codon, and T loops). The record is from RNAcentral. Lineage: Bacteria; Pseudomonadati; Pseudomonadota; Alphaproteobacteria; Rhodobacterales; Paracoccaceae.